AUUUAGAAGAAAUGUAAAUGGUAUAAUAACUUAUGUGCAGCUGGAUAUCGUUGUAUUUAAUAUUUUGUGAAAUACUUAGGCAGAAAUCAGUCAAGAUUUCACUAUUUGAAACUAUAGCAGUAUGGCACCCUGUUUAUAAUAGUGAUAAAAAGCAUAAAAUGUGAGGGAUGUUGGUUUUUUACAUUUUAAACACGCUAUAUUAAAAAAAAUAUGAUGUACAUAAUUCAUAUUUCACAUCGUUCAGGUUGCUGUUCUUUAAAUGAAUUUUGAUUAGAGUUUCUGAAUGAGAUGCUGAAACAAUGCGAAAGUUGGGUAUUCUUUACUUUCAUGUGUUGUGAUGCAACAUCUCGGCACAUGGUGGUCAACUCUAAAAGGAAACACAGUUACCGGUGUGAGUAAAUUUUUAUGAUAUGUCUUGACCUCAUGUUUGCUGGCGAAUACAUGCAAUUUAGCCUCAUUUGCUCGCUCCCCAAGUCAUUAGUGUUGAUACAUGUAAUGUUGACCACCAUGUAUAACCCUAUGUAUAACACCUUGAUGUUACCAUAGUUAAUGGAGGAGAUGGUUUGGAAACUCGUUAGCAUUACAAUAAAAUCACAAUAAACCUCAUUAUCUAUGUUGUUCAGGUUUAUGCAAAAAAUGUGGUCUUUCAUCGUCACGUGCGUAUUGUAUUUUUCUCAAGUCAACCAAUAGGAAUGUUCAAAAUGUCCUAUUGUUAAAGUCAUGGAUGGGCAAUUGGACAAAACCGUUGCUAUUGGCUGGUUGAGCAAAAAUACAAUACGCAC
Paramuricea clavata is the source of this 782-nucleotide non-coding RNA. Lineage: Eukaryota; Metazoa; Cnidaria; Anthozoa; Malacalcyonacea; Plexauridae. The record is from the annotation of a GenBank genome assembly.